GACGAACGCUGGCGGCGUGCUUAACACAUGCAAGUCGAACGGGUCUGCCCUGUUUUUUGCGGGGUGGGUCAGUGGCGAACGGGUGAGUAACCCGUGAGUAACCUGCCCCUCCCUUCUGGAUAACCGCUUGAAAGGGUGGCUAAUACGGGGUGUUCUGGCUGUGCCGCAUGGUGUGGCUGGGAAAGAUUCCCUUUUGUGGUGUUUUGGCGGGGGAUGGGCUCGCGGCCUAUCAGCUUGCUGGGGGGGUGAUGGCCUGCGAGGGCUUUGGCGGGUGGCCGGCCUGAGAGGGUGGGCGGUCACAGUGGGAGUGAGGUACCACCCGGACUCCUGCGGGAGGCAGCAGUGGGGGGGAGUGCACAAUGGGGGGAAGUCUGAAGCAGCGACGUCGCGUGAGGAAUGGAGGCCUUCGGGUUGUGAACCUCUUUCGCCGGUGAAGAAGGUCCUGCUCUUUGUGGUGGGGUGGACGGUAGCCGGGUUAUGAAGCGCCGGCUAACUACGUG
Molecule: ribosomal RNA, 500 nt
Filed under: uncultured bacterium
Lineage: Bacteria
Description: partial 16S ribosomal RNA
Rfam family: Bacterial small subunit ribosomal RNA
Source: RNAcentral